AAUCAACGCUGGCGGCGUGCCUCAGACAUGCAAGUCGAACGAUUAAAGCUCUCUUCGGAGAGUGUAUAGAGUGGCGCACGGGUGAGUAACACGUAAGUAAUCUACCUUUGAGUGGGGAAUAACAAUCGGAAACGAUUGCUAAUACCGCAUAAUGCAGCGGCAUCGCAAGAUGACAGUUGUUAAAGGAGCAAUCCGCUUAAAGAGGAGCUUGCGGCAGAUUAGCUAGUUGGUAAGGUAAUGGCUUACCAAGGCUACGAUCUGUAUCCGGUCUAAGAGGACGGUCGGGACACACUGACACUGAUUAACGGGUCAGACUCCUACGGGAGGCAGCAGUCGGGAAUUUUGGGUCAAUGGGCGAAAGCCUGACCCAGCAACGCCGCGUGAAGGAUGAAGUAUUUCGGUAUGUAAACUUCGAAAGAAUAGGAAGAAUAAAUGACGGUACUAUUUAUAAGGUCCGGCUAACUACGUGCCAGCCGCCGCGGUAAU
Molecule: ribosomal RNA, 486 nt
Filed under: uncultured bacterium
Lineage: Bacteria
Description: bacterial SSU rRNA
Rfam family: Bacterial small subunit ribosomal RNA
Source: RNAcentral